Molecule: non-coding RNA, 88 nt
Organism: Serratia proteamaculans 568
Lineage: Bacteria; Pseudomonadati; Pseudomonadota; Gammaproteobacteria; Enterobacterales; Yersiniaceae
Source: Rfam
CACCUUAGGUUGGUUAAUGCUACACCAACAAGGUAGACACAAUCCUUUGGAGUAGAACAUGAGCGAUAAAAUUAUUCACCUGACUGAC